This 510-nucleotide ribosomal RNA is filed under the name uncultured bacterium. RNAcentral describes it as "partial 16S ribosomal RNA". It matches the Rfam family "Bacterial small subunit ribosomal RNA", at positions 28 to 523 of the family's 1533-position model. The record is from RNAcentral.
GACGAACGCUGGCGGCGUGCCUAACACAUGCAAGUCGAGCGAAUGAAGUUCCUUCGGGAAUGGACUUAGCGGCGGACGGGUGAGUAACACGUGGGUAACCUACCUAUAAGACUGGGAUAACUCCGGGAAACCGGGGCUCAUACCGGAUAAUAUAUUGAACCGCAUGGUUCAAUGUUGAAAGACGGUUUCGGCUGUCACUUAUAGAUUGACCCGCGCCGUAUUAGCUAGUUGGUAAGGUAACGGCUUACCAAGGCAACGAUACGUAGCCGACCUGAGAGGGUGAUCGGCCAAAAUGGAACUGAGACACGGUCCAGACUCCUACGGGAGGCAGCAGUAGGGAAUCUUCCGCAAUGGGCGAAAGCCUGACGGAGCAACGCCGCGUGAGUGAUGAAGGUCUUAGGAUCGUAAAACUCUGUUGUUAGGGAAGAACAAAUUUGUUAGUAACUGAACAAGUCUUGACGGUACCUAACCAGAAAGCCACGGCUAACUACGUGCCAGCCGCCGCCGUAA